This 478-nucleotide ribosomal RNA is filed under the name uncultured bacterium. Its description in RNAcentral is "partial 16S ribosomal RNA". It matches the Rfam family "Bacterial small subunit ribosomal RNA", at positions 28 to 507 of the family's 1533-position model. The record is from RNAcentral.
GAUUAACGCUGGCGGCGUGCAUAACACAUGCAAGUCGAACGAUGAAACUCAUUAGAUUUCUUCGGAAUGAAAAUGAAUGGAUUAGUGGCGAACGGGCGAGUAACGCGUGAGUAACCUGCCUUACACAAGGGGAUAGCCUCUGGAAACGGAGAAUAAUACCCUAUGAAACCAGACAAUCGCAUGAUAAUCUGGUCAAAAUGUUUAGUGGUGUAAGAUGGACUUGCGUCUGAUUAGCUAGUUGGUGAGAUAAAAGCUCACCAAGGCAACGAUCAGUAGCCGGCUUGAGAGAGUGUACGGCCACAUUGGGACUGAGACACGGCCCAGACUCCUACGGGAGGCAGCAGUGGGGAAUUUUGCACAAUGGGGGAAACCCUGAUGCAGCGACGCCGCGUGAUUUAGAAGGCCUUCGGGUUGUAAAAAUCUUUUGUAUAGGAAGAAAAUGACAGUACUAUACGAAUAAGGUCCGGCUAAUUACGUG